AUCCCGAAUUAUAGGCACCAAUAAAAGGUUUGGAUAUGUGGUGAGGAAUAGUAGUUAAGUUAAACCGUAAGGUAUAAAUUUGAUACGAAAUGCCGAUUAGUCAAUUUUCGGCAAUUUCUUUUGUCCGUGUAAAAUCAUAAAUCGAAGCUAAGGGGUAAUAAUUUUAUAAAUUACAAAUUAUGGCCUAGAAUAAUUGUUGAUAAUGUGAGGAAUUGUUUUGGGCCAUUUGAAGGUAAUUAAAAAAAUUUCUAUCGCCGAUAAUUUCAGUUUUUAACGAAAACGAUCGGCGAAACUUUUGAAGAUAUAGACAGGAAUAAUUUUGCCUUAAACUAGAAUUUAAAUGCUAAAUGAUGAUAUAAAGAGUUCCUAAAUGUGAUAUCAUAUGAUAGGGCAAUAAAAUGUUACAAGAUAAUUAAUUUAUUUAAAAACUAACUAAAUAAUUAAAUAAUGAUUAGAAUUCUCUAGAGAAUUCUUUUGUCUAUCAUCAACUCCAAACCCCCCCUCAUUUCAGCCACAAGCACGUCCUCCCCCUCUCCAUGGAAGACCAAAAGCUUAAGCUUUUUAAUUUCCAAAUAUUUGUCAUUUAAUCGGUAAAUCGAUCGGGUAAUCUUGUAUCCGCCAGCAAAUCGAGCGAAGGAGCAUAUAGUGCGUUUUGAUCACAAAGGAGUGGAUUUAGAGAGUAGAGAAGUAUCAAGGUGAAAUAGGCUUAUGUUCAUAAGCCUGCGAGGUUAGAGUCGACAUUAUGUCAGUGGUGUUGCGCAGCUUUGCAUCUUUGGCGAGUCACUGGUGGUCAACUUGGUUUAGUAGUCGUGGCAUGUUAUGUAAUAGUUUAAUCUUUAACCUUCCGCUGGAUAAAUGUUAAGUUUUUAAAUGUAAUAGAUUUUAAUUAUGCUUUUAAGCUAAAAAGAAAAAGGAAAAAUUUCAGCACGGGUUUUCGAUACUGAAACGUGACAUCACUUAUUCGGUGGGUUACCUACCGGGUAAGGGGUGUUACAAGUUUUGGUAUCAGAGCCUAGGUUUAGGCGGUUCUGGAAAGAAGUGAUUCAGUAAAGUGUGUAGAAACAUGCCACAUAGGUUUAAUUGUCUGUUAGUACCAGUGACUCGAUGCAGCUGCUUAUGUCUAAAGUGGAAAGAAGUUAACAAGGUACGGGACAUAGUUUCCCGUGUGACCGAGAAAGAUGUUAUAUGGGACUGGCCACCCCAUAUAGCUCUAAUCUCGGUAGCGUCGGUAUGUGUAAAAGAUUUAAAAAAAAAAAUUCAGGGAGGAUGGGUCUGAAAAUGUUGAUGAAAAGUAUGUCCUAAUGAAAGAUACUAAUAAAUAUAUGCAGAUUAUGAAAGAGUAUAAGUAAAAGAGAAGAAAAUGAGUUAAAGGAAUGAUAUGGAAAGAAAGUAAGUUAUAGACUAAGUGACCAUCAUGAUAUAAAAGUGUAACAUGAAAAUUCACAAAGGUAUGUGGAUUGUCUGAUAUAAGAUGGAUUAAGAGUCAUAAAGUAAUAUCCUAUAAUGAUAAACAAAAGUAUAGAAAUAUGUGAAAGGAAAUGUGUUUGGCAAAAUGAUAAAUAUUGAUAUGAAAACAUAUGAAACUAUAAGGCAUUAUAUGAAUAAAACCAUAAAUGUGCGAAUGAGAAAAUGCGACGAAUAAGAAAUAAAUGAUAUGAUCUGAACAUGUGUGCCCCUAUAUGGAUUACAUGUGUACUUCGAAUCGGGCAAUAUGAGAUAUGACGUGAUGUGAUGGAAAUAUGAACUGAAUAAUCGUGCAAGACAAUAAAUUAUAUGAUUGGAAAUGUGAACUCCGUGAGAAUUAUGUGUGCGCUCGAAUACGAGCUAUAUAAAUGUUAGAACCGAAUGAUGAUUCAGAAAUGAAAUGGAAAAUGGGAAUGUAUGCUCUAAGCGAGCUGUAUAGUAUAUGAUAAGAUAUGUCUAAAAAUAUGAGUUUGAAAUUGAGCUAUAUGAUAUAAAAUGGUAUUCUGGUUGAAAGUGUUGUCUGUGAUCUGUAAAUGUGUUAGUUAUGGAUAAGAAUGAGUUUUGAAAAUAAAUAUGGUUGUUGAUGAAUACUGACUUGAUAUUUGAAUUAUGUUGUGAUUUGGUGGUUUGAUUUGAUAAUCUGUGAUUAACAUUGUAUCUUGUUGGUUUUGGGGAAGCACUGGUUAUAGAGAAAACGCUGCCCAAUUUUUGCUAGAAAUUGAUCAGAUAAAUUAAUACGAAGUUGUGGUAAAUAAACUGAUAAGUGAUAAUACAUGAAGAGAAUGAUGUUACAUGAUGACUUAAGAAAGGAAAAAGGGAAAAGAUAAGAAGUGUUGUGAAUGAUAAUAAAGGAAAACGUAAUGAAAUGAUGAUAUGUGGAAAGUGAAAUGCACCCUUCGUCGGCUAUAAGUGCCCGAAUAGGGACUAUGCAAUUGGGACUAUACAAUAUAUGAUGAGUAUGUGAAUUAUACAUAUGCGUGAUGAAUAUGAUAUGUGCGCCUCAUGUGGACAAAGAAAAGAUGCAAAUAACAUGGAAAUUACUAUGUAAAGAAAUGAUAAUGUGACAAAUGUGCUUGAAAUAUAUUAGAGAUAAUGAUAAUAUUAUUAUGUGAUCGCAAAAUGUGGCUAUGUGUUAAGAUGUGAUUAUGUGAUUUUGUAUGUCAUUCUGUGUUUGGUUAUGGAAGUGAGGAUACGCUAUGUAGAUGAGGAUAUAGGAUGUCGUGGAAUGGCAUACGUAUAUGCGACGCUAAUAGGAAUGAUGUAAACCCGAGGGAAUUUCGAGGACGAAAUUCCUUUUAGGGGGGAUGAGUUGUAACAUCCCGAAUUAUAGGCACCAAUAAAAGGUUUGGAUAUGUGGUGAGGAAUAGUAGUUAAGUUAAACCGUAAGGUAUAAAUUUGAUACGAAAUGCCGAUUAGUCAAUUUUCGGCAAUUUCUUUUGUCCGUGUAAAAUCAUAAAUCGAAGCUAAGGGGUAAUAAUUUUAUAAAUUACAAAUUAUGGCCUAGAAUAAUUGUUGAUAAUGUGAGGAAUUGUUUUGGGCCAUUUGAAGGUAAUUAAAAAAAUUUCUAUCGCCGAUAAUUUCAGUUUUUAACGAAAACGAUCGGCGAAACUUUUGAAGAUAUAGACAGGAAUAAUUUUGCCUUAAACUAGAAUUUAAAUGCUAAAUGAUGAUAUAAAGAGUUCCUAAAUGUGAUAUCAUAUGAUAGGGCAAUAAAAUGUUACAAGAUAAUUAAUUUAUUUAAAAACUAACUAAAUAAUUAAAUAAUGAUUAGAAUUCUCUAGAGAAUUCUUUUGUCUAUCAUCAACUCCAAACCCCCCCUCAUUUCAGCCACAAGCACGUCCUCCCCCUCUCCAUGGAAGACCAAAAGCUUAAGCUUUUUAAUUUCCAAAUAUUUGUCAUUUAAUCGGUAAAUCGAUCGGGUAAUCUUGUAUCCGCCAGCAAAUCGAGCGAAGGAGCAUAUAGUGCGUUUUGAUCACAAAGGAGUGGAUUUAGAGAGUAGAGAAGUAUCAAGGUGAAAUAGGCUUAUGUUCAUAAGCCUGCGAGGUUAGAGUCGACAUUAUGUCAGUGGUGUUGCGCAGCUUUGCAUCUUUGGCGAGUCACUGGUGGUCAACUUGGUUUAGUAGUCGUGGCAUGUUAUGUAAUAGUUUAAUCUUUAACCUUCCGCUGGAUAAAUGUUAAGUUUUUAAAUGUAAUAGAUUUUAAUUAUGCUUUUAAGCUAAAAAGAAAAAGGAAAAAUUUCAGCA
This is a long non-coding RNA of Salvia splendens (bonfire salvia), 3707 nucleotides long. RefSeq lists it as uncharacterized. The record is from RefSeq and is a predicted model, not a curated record. The transcript has 5 exons. NCBI's taxonomy places the organism in Eukaryota, Viridiplantae, Streptophyta, Magnoliopsida, Lamiales, Lamiaceae.